CGGAUUAAUUAUUACUAAACAAGGAGGUAUCAAUUUCAUGUCUAUUUAUACAAUCAUAUUAUAUGAUUCCAGGGAUAUCUGCUUUAUCUCUCUCAGAAUAAUCGAUGCCUCACAAGUUACAGGUUCUCAUACUUGCAUGAUGAACAGAGAACCAGACGUUGAUAAAGAACCAACGUAGUGAACUUUAACCCUUUCACCACCACAACUACGUCACGCACACUCUUGAAGUAGGGUGCGUUCGUGACAAUGAGAAUAUCUGGAUUUGCCACAUUUAAAGGAACUAUUGCACCUUUGUAUAAACAUUUAUAUGCAUGACUAAAUAAACAACAAUAAAACACACACAGUACUUACCUGCAAGGAAAUCUGCAGCGGAAUGAAACCACUGCCUGCAGGAACAGACUGAAACAAAAAGGAUUAAAUGGAAAAG
Pelobates cultripes (western spadefoot toad) is the source of this 427-nucleotide non-coding RNA. Lineage: Eukaryota; Metazoa; Chordata; Amphibia; Anura; Pelobatidae. The record is from the annotation of a GenBank genome assembly.